AUCAAUUCCAAUUUCCAGACCUUUUAGGACAGGUAAAGAACUUGAAUUUCAGCAUAAAUCUUCACUUUGCAUCAGCAGCAAUGAUUUCCUAC
Sander lucioperca (pikeperch) is the source of this 92-nucleotide long non-coding RNA. RefSeq lists it as uncharacterized. The transcript has 3 exons. The record is from RefSeq and is a predicted model, not a curated record. NCBI's taxonomy places the organism in Eukaryota, Metazoa, Chordata, Actinopteri, Perciformes, Percidae.